CGAGUAAGUCAGAUGGUCGCGUCAGAGGAUUCAUUCUCUGACGAGGAAAGUCCGAGCUCCGCAGGGCAAGGUGCUGGGUAAUACCCAGUGGAGGCGACUCCAAGGAUAGUGCAACAGAAAUAGACCGCCCGGUAUGCUGUAGAGCGUGUAAUGCUUCUACAAAGGGGUCACCCCAAUAUACCAGGUAAGGAUGGAAAGGUGAGGUAAGAGCUCACCAGCAACUAGGCGACUAGUUGGCUCUGUAAACCCCACCCGGAGCAAGACCAAGUAGGGAUGAAAAAGCGGCUGCCCGUCGUGUCCCGUGGUAGGUUGCUUGAGCCUACUGGCAACAGUAGGUCUAGAUAGAUGACUGUCAAAUACAGAACUCGGCUUAUAGAUUUGCUCGUUUA
Molecule: RNase P RNA, 389 nt
Filed under: Geosporobacter ferrireducens
Lineage: Bacteria; Bacillati; Bacillota; Clostridia; Peptostreptococcales; Thermotaleaceae
Description: Bacterial RNase P class A
Rfam family: Bacterial RNase P class A
About the family: Ribonuclease P (RNase P) is a ubiquitous endoribonuclease, found in archaea, bacteria and eukarya as well as chloroplasts and mitochondria. Its best characterised activity is the generation of mature 5'-ends of tRNAs by cleaving the 5'-leader elements of precursor-tRNAs.
Source: Rfam by way of RNAcentral